GAUGAACGCUGGCGGCGUGCCUAAUACAUGCAAGUCGAGCGAACGGACGAGAAGCUUGCUUCUCUGAUGUUAGCGGCGGACGGGUGAGUAACACGUGGAUAACCUACCUAUAAGACUGGGAUAACUUCGGGAAACCGGAGCUAAUACCGGAUAAUAUUUUGAACCGCAUGGUUCAAAAGUGAAAGACGGUCUUGCUGUCACUUAUAGAUGGAUCCGCGCUGCAUUAGCUAGUUGGUAAGGUAACGGCUUACCAAGGCAACGAUGCAUAGCCGACCUGAGAGGGUGAUCGGCCACACUGGAACUGAGACACGGUCCAGACUCCUACGGGAGGCAGCAGUAGGGAAUCUUCCGCAAUGGGCGAAAGCCUGACGGAGCAACGCCGCGUGAGUGAUGAAGGUCUUCGGAUCGUAAAACUCUGUUAUUAGGGAAGAACAUAUGUGUAAGUAACUGUGCACAUCUUGACGGUACCUAAUCAGAAAGCCACGGCUAACUACGUGCCAGCAGCCGCGGUAAUACGUAGGUGGCAAGCGUUAUCCGGAAUUAUUGGGCGUAAAGCGCGCGUAGGCGGUUUUUUAAGUCUGAUGUGAAAGCCCACGGCUCAACCGUGGAGGGUCAUUGGAAACUGGAAAACUUGAGUGCAGAAGAGGAAAGUGGAAUUCCAUGUGUAGCGGUGAAAUGCGCAGAGAUAUGGAGGAACACCAGUGGCGAAGGCGACUUUCUGGUCUGUAACUGACGCUGAUGUGCGAAAGCGUGGGGAUCAAACAGGAUUAGAUACCCUGGUAGUCCACGCCGUAAACGAUGAGUGCUAAGUGUUAGGGGGUUUCCGCCCCUUAGUGCUGCAGCUAACGCAUUAAGCACUCCGCCUGGGGAGUACGACCGCAAGGUCGAAACUCAAAGGAAUUGACGGGGACCCGCACAAGCGGUGGAGCAUGUGGUUUAAUUCGAAGCAACGCGAAGAACCUUACCAAAUCUUGACAUCCUUUGACAACUCUAGAGAUAGAGCCUUCCCCUUCGGGGGACAAAGUGACAGGUGGUGCAUGGUUGUCGUCAGCUCGUGUCGUGAGAUGUUGGGUUAAGUCCCGCAACGAGCGCAACCCUUAAGCUUGGUUGCCAUCAUUAAGUUGGGCACUCUAAGUUGACUGCCGGUGACAAACCGGAGGAAGGUGGGGAUGACGUCAAAUCAUCAUGCCCCUUAUGAUUUGGGCUACACACGUGCUACAAUGGACAAUACAAAGGGCAGCGAAACCGCGAGGUCAAGCAAAUCCCAUAAAGUUGUUCUCAGUUCGGAUUGUAGUCUGCAACUCGACUACAUGAAGCUGGAAUCGCUAGUAAUCGUAGAUCAGCAUGCUACGGUGAAUACGUUCCCGGGUCU
RNAcentral lists this ribosomal RNA (1372 nucleotides) under uncultured bacterium. RNAcentral's name for it is "bacterial SSU rRNA". It matches the Rfam family "Bacterial small subunit ribosomal RNA", at positions 28 to 1381 of the family's 1533-position model. The record is from RNAcentral.